UGGGGAAUUUUGGACAAUGGGCGCAAGCCUGAUCCAGCAAUGCCGCGUGCAGGAAGAAGGCCUUCGGGUUGUAAACUGCUUUUGUACGGAACGAAACGGCUCUUUCUAAUAAAGAGGGCUAAUGACGGUACCGUAAGAAUAAGCACCGGCUAACUACGUG
RNAcentral lists this ribosomal RNA (160 nucleotides) under uncultured bacterium. Its description in RNAcentral is "partial 16S rRNA". It matches the Rfam family "Bacterial small subunit ribosomal RNA", at positions 355 to 507 of the family's 1533-position model. The record is from RNAcentral.